Molecule: small nucleolar RNA, 142 nt
Filed under: Carlito syrichta (Philippine tarsier)
Lineage: Eukaryota; Metazoa; Chordata; Mammalia; Primates; Tarsiidae
Description: Small nucleolar RNA SNORA64/SNORA10 family (ENSTSYG00000020219.2)
Rfam family: Small nucleolar RNA SNORA64/SNORA10 family
About the family: This family belongs to the H/ACA class of small nucleolar RNAs (snoRNAs) which act as guides in the the modification of uridines to pseudouridines.
Source: Rfam by way of RNAcentral
AGUCUCUUAGCUCAGCAUAGUUACACUUGGCAUCACCUGUGUGACUUUCUAAAUGGAAAGAGGGAGAAAAGAUCUCCUCAGAACCUUGGAACCCUGGAUUGGCUUUACAGUGGCCUUCCUUUACUUGAGGGGCACAACAGGU